RNAcentral lists this ribosomal RNA (450 nucleotides) under uncultured Sphingobacteriales bacterium. RNAcentral's name for it is "bacterial SSU rRNA". It matches the Rfam family "Bacterial small subunit ribosomal RNA", at positions 930 to 1382 of the family's 1533-position model. Lineage: Bacteria; Pseudomonadati; Bacteroidota; Sphingobacteriia; Sphingobacteriales. The record is from RNAcentral.
CGGAGGAGCAUGUGGUUUAAUUCGAUGAUACGCGAGGAACUUACCUGGGCUCGAACGUAAGAUGACUGUAGGUGAAAGCUUACAUCUCUUCGGAGCAUUUUACGAGGUGCUGCAUGGUUGUCGUCAGCUCGUGCCGUGAGGUGUCGGGUUAAGUCCCAUAACGAGCGCAACCCUACCUUUAGUUGCCAUCAGGUAAUGCUGGGGACUCUAAAGGAACUGCCUACGCAAGUAGUGAGGAAGGCGGGGAUGACGUCAAAUCAGCACGGCCCUUACGUCCAGGGCUACACACGUGCUACAAUGGCCGAUACAGAGGGCAGCUACCUGGUGACAGGAUGCAAAUCUCCAAAGUCGGUCUCAGUUCGGAUCGGAGUCUGCAACCCGACUCCGUGAAGUUGGAUUCGCUAGUAAUCGCGCAUCAGCCAUGGCGCGGUGAAUACGUUCCCGGGCCUU